GUCUACGGCCAUACCACCCUGAACACGUGUGAUCUCCUCUGAUCUCAGAAGCUAAGCAGGGUCGGGCCUGGUUAGUACUUGGAUGGGACUGCCUGGGAAUACCGGGUGCUGUAGGCU
This 117-nucleotide ribosomal RNA is filed under the name Aotus nancymaae (Ma's night monkey). The record is from RNAcentral. Lineage: Eukaryota; Metazoa; Chordata; Mammalia; Primates; Aotidae.